RNAcentral lists this ribosomal RNA (253 nucleotides) under uncultured bacterium. RNAcentral describes it as "partial 16S ribosomal RNA". It matches the Rfam family "Bacterial small subunit ribosomal RNA", at positions 524 to 776 of the family's 1533-position model. The record is from RNAcentral.
UACGUAUGGUGCAAGCGUUAUCCGGAUUUACUGGGCGUAAAGGGAGCGCAGGCGGCGCGCCAAGUUUGAUGUGAAACCCCGGGGCUCAACCCCGGGCAUGCAUUGGAAACUGGCGGGCUGGAGUGCCGGAGAGGUAAGCGGAAUUCCUAGUGUAGCGGUGAAAUGCGUAGAUAUUAGGAGGAACACCAGUGGCGAAGGCGGCUUACUGGACGGCAACUGACGCUGAGGCUCGAAAGCGUGGGGAGCAAACAGG